CAUAAAACAACCAGCCGACGGCCGGUUACACUUACUUAUUAAACCUAUACAAAAAGAAAUAAAUCAAUCAGCUGAAGCUGAAAAUCCAUAUUGUGUUUUAAGUGCUCGGCGCUCUUAAGUUUGUGGGACGAAGUUACCAAAAAUGAAGUUUAAAGUUGCUACAAUAUUCACGGCACAACAACGUUGUUUCUUCUUUGUUUACACUCCGAAAUCAAGUAUUGGGCAGAAAAGAAGUCUGCCUUGAAGAAGCUGUGCAACGGGCUCAGUCCAUGAGGCGCACUGGCGGUAGCUUAGAUAUGGUGCUAGGGCUGUCACUACUUUUUAUUUAUUUGUGGCAGUCAGUGGCAGUCAUGGGUGGUGGGUGACUCUCUUGCCACAGGUACCAGAGGAAUAGCUGUAGACCCCUUUCCACAAAGUAAUUCUCGCCCUUCUAUAUUAAUAGACCUGCCAUCCACAUCACAGGCUGCCACUGAAACCCUGGAAAUAGAGCAAGAAAUUCAUAUUCAUAAUCCACAGCCUCCUGUGGAGGCAGGGCUGCAGAUAGAACACAGCGAGCAGCAAGGCGAAAAAAGUUUUGUAGGCAUUAUAUGAUUCCAUACUAAUAUUUAUGAAGUUCUGUGUAGAUUUUUAAAUGUUAUUUAAAUAAUAAUUUAUUAAUUAUUACAAAUUAUAUUAGUGUUCUCUGUAUUUUAGGUCAAUAAAGAUUAUAAACAAUAAAUAUAUUUUUUUAAAUAAUGAU
Molecule: long non-coding RNA, 739 nt
Organism: Plodia interpunctella (Indianmeal moth)
Lineage: Eukaryota; Metazoa; Arthropoda; Insecta; Lepidoptera; Pyralidae
Exons: 3
Source: RefSeq, a predicted model, not a curated record